This 936-nucleotide ribosomal RNA is filed under the name uncultured bacterium. Its description in RNAcentral is "bacterial SSU rRNA". It matches the Rfam family "Bacterial small subunit ribosomal RNA", at positions 8 to 915 of the family's 1533-position model. The record is from RNAcentral.
AGAGUUUGAUUAUGGCUCAGAAUGAACGCUGGCGGCGUGCUUAACACAUGCAAGUCGUACGAGAACGCUUCAGCUUGCUGAAGCUAGUAAAGUGGCGUACGGGUGAGUAACGCGUGGGUAAUCUACCUUCGAAUUGGGGAUAACGUUGCGAAAGCGACGCUAAUACCGGAUAAUAUCAAUAGGACUUUGGUUUUAUUGAUCAAAGGUGGCCUCUUCAUGAAAGCUACUGUUUGGAGAUGAGCCCGCGUCCCAUUAGCUUGUUGGUGGGGUAAUGGCCUACCAAGGCAGCGAUGGGUAGCUGGUCUGAGAGGAUGAUCAGCCACACUGGAACUGACACACGGUCCAGACUCCUACGGGAGGCAGCAGUGAGGAAUUUUGCGCAAUGGGGGAAACCCUGACGCAGCAACGCCGCGUGAGUGAUGAAGGCUUUCGGGUCGUAAAGCUCUGUCAAGUGGGAAGAACCACCGUAAGGUUAAUAUUCUUAUGGUCUGACGGUACCACUGAAGGAAGCACCGGCUAACUCCGUGCCAGCAGCCGCGGUAAUACGGGGGGUGCAAGCGUUAUUCGGAUUUACUGGGCGUAAAGCGCGCGUAGGCGGCCGUUUAAGUCAGAUGUGAAAGCCCGGGGCUCAACCCCGGAAGUGCAUUUGAUACUAUUCGGCUUGAGUAUGGGAGAGGGAAGUGGAAUUCCUGGUGUAGAGGUGAAAUUCGUAGAUAUCACGAGGAACACCGGUGGCGAAAGCGACUUCCUGGACCAAUACUGACGCUGAGGCGCGAAGGCGUGGGGAGCAAACAGGAUUAGAUACCCUGGUAGUCCACGCAGUAAACGGUGAUCACUAGGUGUAGCGGGUAUUGACCCCUGCUGUGCCGCAGCUAACGCAUUAAGUGAUCCGCCUGGGGAGUACGGCCGCAAGGUUAAAACUCAAAUGAAUUGACG